AUUGAACGCUGGCGGCAGGCCUAACACAUGCAAGUCGAGCGGAUGAGAAGAGCUUGCUCUUCGAUUCAGCGGCGGACGGGUGAGUAAUGCCUAGGAAUCUGCCUGGUAGUGGGGGACAACGUUUCGAAAGGAACGCUAAUACCGCAUAAUGUCUACGGACCAAAGUGUGGGACCUUCGGGCCACAUGCUAUCGGAUGCGC
This 200-nucleotide ribosomal RNA is filed under the name uncultured bacterium. RNAcentral describes it as "partial 16S ribosomal RNA". It matches the Rfam family "Bacterial small subunit ribosomal RNA", at positions 30 to 230 of the family's 1533-position model. The record is from RNAcentral.